GCUCAAAUGGUGUAGUUGGUUAUCACAUGCCUCUCACUAAGGCAAGGUCCCAGGUUCGAACCCUGGUUUGAGCA
This is a transfer RNA of Lobosporangium transversale, 74 nucleotides long. It matches the Rfam family "tRNA". From Rfam's summary of the family: Transfer RNA (tRNA) molecules are approximately 80 nucleotides in length. Their secondary structure includes four short double-helical elements and three loops (D, anti-codon, and T loops). Lineage: Eukaryota; Fungi; Mortierellomycota; Mortierellomycetes; Mortierellales; Mortierellaceae. The record is from Rfam.